RNAcentral lists this long non-coding RNA (1644 nucleotides) under Oncorhynchus kisutch (coho salmon). Its description in RNAcentral is "lncRNA (ENSOKIG00005035695.1)". Lineage: Eukaryota; Metazoa; Chordata; Actinopteri; Salmoniformes; Salmonidae. The record is from RNAcentral.
AUGUUGAGGUUGUUCCUCCUGUCCUGUACAGUAAUGUUGAGGUUGUUCCUCCUGUCCUGUUCAGUAAUGUUGAGGUUGUUCCUCCUGUCCUGUUCAGUAAUGUUGAGGUUGUUCCUCCUGUCCUGUACAGUAAUGUUGAGGUUGUUCCUCCUGUCCUGUUCAGUAAUGUUGAGGUUGUUCCUCCUGUCCUGUUCAGUAAUGUUGUUGAGGUUGUUCCUCCUGUCCUGUUCAGUAAUGUUGAGGGUGUUCCACCUAUCCUGUUCAGUAAUGUUGAGGUUGUCCCACCUGUCCUGUUCAGUAAUGUUGAGGUUGUUCCUCCUGUCCUGUUCAGUAAUGUUGAGGUUGUUCCUCCUGUCCUGUUCAGUAAUGUUGUUGAGGUUGUUCCUCCUGUCCUGUUCAGUAAUGUUGAGGUUGUUCCACCUGUCCUGUUCAGUAAUGUUGUUGAGGUUGUUCCACCUGUCCUGUUCAGUAAUGUUGUUGAGGUUGUUCCUCCUGUCCUGUUCAGUAAUGUUGUUGAGGUUGUUCCUCCUGUCCUGUUCAGUAAUGUUGUUGAGGUUGUUCCUCCUGUCCUGUUCAGUAAUGUUGUUGAGGUUGUUCCUCCUGUCCUGUUCAGUAAUGUUGAGGUUGUUCCUCCUGUCCUGUUCAGUAAUGUUGAGGUUGUUCCUCCUGUCCUGUUCAGUAAUGUUGUUGAGGUUGUUCCUCCUGUCCUGUUCAGUAAUGUUGAGGUUGUUCCACCUGUCCUGUUCAGUAAUGUUGUUGAGGUUGUUCCACCUGUCCUGUUCAGUAAUGUUGUUGAGGUUGUUCCUCCUGUCCUGUUCAGUAAUGUUGUUGAGGUUGUUCCUCCUGUCCUGUUCAGUAAUGUUGUUGAGGUUGUUCCUCCUGUCCUGUUCAGUAAUGUUGAGGUUGUUCCUCCUGUCCUGUUCAGUAAUGUUGAGGUUGUUCCUCCUGUCCUGUUCAGUAAUGUUGUUGAGGUUGUUCCUCCUGUCCUGUUCAGUAAUGUUGAGGUUGUUCCACCUGUCCUGUUCAGUAAUGUUGAGGUUGUUCCUCCUGUCCUGUUCAGUAAUGUUGAGGUUGUUCCUCCUGUCCUGUUCAGUAAUGUUGAGGUUGUUCCUCCUGUCCUGUUCAGUAAUGUUGAGGUUGUUCCUCAUUCUCUUCUUUCCUUAUUUUUUUGUUCUUAUUUGGAAUGUUUUUCCAGCUUUGUGUCCCCGUCGUCUUACCUCAGGUGACGUCGCUUUAAAGUCCGACGUAGGACGCCGGUGUGUCCCUCCCAGAGGCGUGUGUGUCCCUCCCAGAGGCGUGUGUGUCCCCCUCCCAGAGGCGUGUGUGUCCCUCCCAGAGGCGUGUGUGUCCCUCCCAGAGGCGUGUAUGUCCCUCCCAGAGGCGUGUGUGUCCCCCUCCCAGAGGCGUGUGUGUCCCCCUCCCAGAGGCGUGUGUGUCCCCCUCCCAGAGGCGUGUGUGUCCCCCUCCCAGAGGCGUGUGUCCCCCUCCCAGAGGCGUGUGUCCCCCUCCCAGAGGCGUGUGUCCCCCUCCCAGAGGCGUGUGUCCCCCUCCCAGAGGCGUGUGUGUCCCUCCCAGAGGCGUGUGUGUCCCUCCCAGAGGCGUGUGUGUCCCUCCCAGAGGCGUGUGUGUUGUAUACAGUGGUAG